AGAACCUCCCCCGAUCCUGCGUGUCCCGUGCUCCUCUCCGAGACCCCGGUCGCCCCAGCGUCCGCAGCAGUCCUGGAAAAAUGUUUAUUUGUGUAGCAAAGCAGGGAGCGGGGCGGCGGGGCUACUUCUUCUUUUUCUUGGCCGCCUUGAGCUUCCCCUCGAUUAGCCGCUGCGCCUGCCUCUUGAUCUCGGCGCGCGAAGGGACGUAGCUGUGGUCCAUGUCGGGGAACUGGAAGGUGUCUGCGGGCGGAGGCGGCGGCUCGCACACGGGGCUAGCCCAGCUAGGCGCAGCCGCCCGACCCGCCUCUCGCCCCCGCCCUCCACCGACCCGGGCCAGGUGCCUUGCCCCAGGGACAGCCCCAGCGUGCCGGGAGGACUCAGCCCAGCCCAUUCGCAGCGGCUCACGCUGCCCUGCCUAGCCUUUCCCGCAGAACCCCCAGUGGAAGCUCCGGCCCAGGCCUUCACCGCGCUCCUCCCUGCUCCAGCCCUGGUGCCUCUCCUCCGGGCCCGUCUGGCAUGGCAUGCCUCCUCCUUUCGGAGAAAUUAACAAGGGCAAAGCCCCCUUCAGCCGUGCAGACACUCUGAACGGGAGCCUGUCAGCUUUGAGGGGACGUGGGCUGUGCAGGUUCCUCCCAGCCCGGGGCUACCUCCUCGGUCCUGGACACCAUCUGCACUCUGUCAGCCAGGUACGUGAGCUUCCCCUCGCAGUACGCCAGCUUGCUGUUCAAAUCGAGGGUGUUGGAGAGCACCACUUCUCUCUGUAGGCCGGGAGGAGGGUCUCAUCUCCCCUCUGGCCCUGCCCAGGGACCUGGUGUGUGGCAGCUCAGCCUCACUCCCGGUACCUGGGUCGCAGGCAAGUUAAUGCCCAUCAGCCGGACAUAGAGGUUGUCGAUGCCCAUCUGGAUGGUCAGCAGCAGCUCCUGGCCCUUGGUCAUGUUGCUGUGCGCCAGCUGGAGCCUCUCUUCUUCCUCUUUUAGCAUGUCUGUCAUUUUCUUCUCAACGGACUUGAAGCUGCAGAAGGCAAUAGGGACACAGCAGUGAGGGGCACAGGCCCGAGAGCCAUGGUGGGCCACCCAGGAGCCCAGUCCUGAGUUGGGUGCUGUGCCAGAAUCAGGGACUCAGAAGCUCAGGUGUGUGCAAGUGGAGUCCCCUGGCCCCUCUGUGGGACACACAGGCUUGUUGGCAGUGGGUAUACUCCCAGCUCCCAGCCUGGCUGCAGCCCGGGGCCUUUGUGAGACUGGGGUGGGUGGCCCGCAGCCCCGGAAGCCCGGGGCACCUGAUGGAGCUAGGCUUCUGGCGGAACUUGAGCACGGCCUCCUCCAGCUCCAGCUGCUUCACCAGGGCCUUCAGCUGCACCCGCCACUCCUCACAGUCCUCCAUCUGCAGCUCCAGGUUCUCCUCCGUGUUCCUCUGGGCCAGGAAGCGGCUAGUGAUGUCCUGGCCAGUCCGGGGGAGAGAGAAGCAGGUGUGGGCCAGGAUGGUGGGCAGAGGGGGCUUCACAGAACUGGUUUCUUCUGGGCCCCUCCUAGACGCUAGUGCACUUUCUCUGUGCUCAUUCACAAGUGUGAUCACAGCUCACUGCAGCCUCAACCUCCCAGACUCAAGCGAUCCUCCCACCUCAGCUUCCUGAGUAGCUGGGACCACAGGUGUGCACCACCACACUUAGCAGGGGUGAAGCGCUUUGUGGAUGUCAUUGCACACGACCCUAAUGGCAGGCAGAGAGGGUAGAUAACCCCAUGUAGAGAUAAGGAGAUCAUCACUGAAGGACGUUGUGUCACUUGAGUCACUUGUCUGACAGUGGACAAGCUUGUGUCAGGGCAGUGGUUAGGAGCUCAAGGCCUAAUAAUAAUAAACGCAGAUACACAGAUGGGAUUAAGAUAAAAGGAUUUGGGGCGGCCGAGGGAGUUGCCACUUUGUGUGUCCAUUUCAGAGUGCCUCAGACCCCAGCCCAGCUCAGCCACCCUCCUGCCAUGCUCCGGGAGUGCCAGGGAGCAUUACCCAGACGUGAGAGGCUCAGCCACCCUCCUGCCAUUCUCUGGGAGCGCCAGGGGCAUUACCCAGACGUGAGAGCACCGUACAGCACUCUUGACCUUCUCCACCACAGCAGUCACGCCCGACUGGUAUUCCAUUUCUGCUGUGGAGGUCUCUUUUCUCCUCACUGGCAGAGCAGAGGGGAGGGGCAGUCAGCAUGCAGGGAUGGCUCAGGGGCUCUGUGUAAGGCUGUCAGACACCUCUGUACCUGCCCAGCUGCUGGGGCGGCCACCCAAGACACAGGCAUCCUUCAGAGAUGCCUGCCCCCGCCCCAACCUGCUCCCUCCUCAGCCCAGCCCUGCAGGGACGCCCCAGGCAGCCCCAGAGCAGAGGUGGACCCGGAGUGAGUGGCGCAGCACUGUGAGCACUGUGGGCCCGGUGGUGCUUCUCAGAGGCAGCUUAGGGGUCAGGAUGCUCAUCCUCUGCAGAGUCACUGGGGACUGGGCCCUUGGUGCAGGGCCCUUGGGUGCUGGGGCCAGCAUCUCUGAGGCCACAUUUGGCUACAGGCUCUCAGCCUCUGGAGGGAGAGGCAGGGACCUGUCCUUCCCUUCACCCUGGCGACCACAUGUCACACCUGGCCUCAGGGUGACUUGAUCCGUUGGCCUGAAUCAGUGCCAGCCUCUCCUUGGGACCCUGGCUGGGGGCAGGUGGGGAGCUGAGCGCUUACAUUUCAGGGUCUCCGUGCUCAUCAGGUUCGAGGGGAAGUCCAAGUCCAUCUGGCCCUGAUGGGAGGUGGGGGCGGGGAAGGGAUGAGACAUCCUUGGCAGGGAGUGGGCCCUGAGUGGUGGCCCUGAGCCUGUGUCCACCCAGCUGUCAUGGGGAUGGGCAGCCAGCCAGGCCCUGGCCUGGGGCUUACCCGGCGGUACUUCUCGCUGGUCUCCUUCGUGUGGAUCUUGUCGAUCAGCUUCUUCUGCUGGUUGAGCCGGUUCUCCCUUGCCCGGCGCUCCUCGAUGAAGGACGCCUCCCUUUGCCUCAUGUUCCUCUGGGGACAUGCGGGUGGGCACAGGGUUGGGGAGCUGUCUCAACAAGGCCCCUAAUGGCAGUAAAGCCAGCGGGCGGUUGGCCAUGCUCACCUUACUAGACUUUGGAACUGCAUCCCCGGCCAAUGGCCACACCCUUUUCCUAAACCACUUGUGCCCGUGGCCCCUCAGCUCACGGCCCUCCUUGCCCAUGCCUCAGAGCAUGUGCCAGCCCAGACGCUCUGCUGCCCUCCAGCCGCUGGCCCCCAGCUGCCUCCUGGCCAGGUCCACCUAGAACUCACGGAAGUGCAUUCAGCCUGCCUGAAGACAGAUUCAUCCUCUUCCCCAAAACCUGGCCUCUUCCAGCGUGCCCUUGGGCAGCUAAAACCGUCAUCUGCUAACCCCUGCUCACGCACCCCAGACACUGCUCUCACCCUCGCCACUCUCGUUGCCAGCGCUUAGUGGGGUUGCCUCUUGAGGAGUUCUCAGCUCCGUUGCUCCUGGCCACCCCUUCUCCACCCCGGGUAUACCCAGGUGAUCAGCGCUUCUGCCCUGGCACCUUCCAGUCCCUGCAGCCUGAGUACACCCUUUCUGAAGCACAGACCUGGUCACAUCUUUCCUCCACCUCCUCCCAGGGCUCCAGGUCAGUCCUUGGGCCCCCAGCCCAGCCGCCUCCGUGGACUCCUGGGGCCUGUGCCUCUGCAGCCUCCACUGCCCUGGCCACACGCUGCUCCAUGUAUCACACCCCUCCCAGCCCAGGGCCUUUUCCCAAGUUGUACCUCCUCCUCCCUAGCCCUGGCCACACCUGACCUUUGCGGGUUCAAUCCCUCAGCCCAGCUCAAGCACUGUCUUCCUGGAAAGCCAUCUGCCACCCCACCUGUCUCUGCUGAGCUGGCUCAGGGGCUGUGUGGCAUUUCUUCAUGGACUACUGGAUGAGUGCCACCCACUUCAGGAGGACAGGGUCUGCCUGUCCCGGUCCCUGCUGUAUCCCCAGAGCCUUGCAGGGACCUUGGCACAGACUGGGUGAAUAGGUGACCCCCGCCCUGGCCCGGCCAGUUCUCUCCCUCUCCUCUACUUCAUGGCUCCUGUGCUGGAUGGGACCUGCUCUGUCCAGUGGGUGAGCAGAGCAGGCUGGCCGGGCUGGCCACUGGAUCCUUCUGGGGAUUGUAGGCAGUGUGGGCAUGGGGGUCUCCUGAGAGACCCUGGCCAGAAGACACAAGAGAGCCCGCCCUGGGGGGCCCCAGCCCUGGGCCCUGAGCUCACCUUGACCCCAUCCGAAGAUCCAAGAGGGCUGGCCCUGGGGGGCCCCCAGCCCUGGGCCCUGAGCUCACCUUGACCCCAUCCGAAGAUCCAAGAGGGCUGGCCCUGGGGGGCCCCAGCCCUGGGCCCUGAGCUCACCUUGACCCCAUCCGAAGAUCCAAGAGGGCUGGCCCUGGGGGGCCCCCGGCCCUGGGCCCUGAGCUCACCUUGACCCCAUCCGAAGAUCCAAGAGGGCUGGCCCUGGGGGGCCCCCAGCCCUGGGCCCUGAGCUCACCUUGACCCCAUCCGAAGAUCCAAGAGGGCUGGCCCUGGGGGGCCCCCGGCCCUGGGCCCUGAGCUCACCUUGACCCCAUCCGAAGAUCCAAGAGGGCUGGCCCUGGGGGGCCCCCAGCCCUGGGCCCUGAGCUCACCUUGACCCCAUCCGAAGAUCCAAGAGGGCUGGCCCUGGGGGGCCCCCAGCCCUGGGCCCUGAGCUCACCUUGACCUCAUCCGUGAUCAUCAUGGCAUCUUGGGACAUGAUCUUCAUAUCCGACAGCUCUGAGCAGUAGUUGACCACGAGGUUCUGCAGCUUGUCCAGCUCAAUGGGGUAUCCUGCCAGCACCUGUGUUGAAUGGGGUUCUCUUGUGGCCCCUACAGAGUGGGCUGCAGUUGCCCCGAGCUUUUAUCCCCCGACUAAGAGCCCUGAGAACAGUGAUAGGUUCUCCUCUGUGGCCCCAGCCACCUCCCCCACUCCCCGCUGGGCACAACGGUGAUGAAAGGUGUUUCACAGGGAGUGGACAGUGCUGGCCUGGUGGACUCUUUCACCACCUAGGGUCCAACAACCCAGAGAGACUGAGAGAGUUUGUGAUGAAAUGCUCUGCAGAAAAGGCUGACUGAAACCCGGGGAGGUUUGGGGACAGUUCUGCUUUGAAGUGAAACAGAGGGGCUCAAGACAUGGGCUUGGGGUCAGAGAGUCAGGAUUCAAGGCCAAGGCAGCUUCUGACCAGCUAGUUUAGCUGUGUGACAUUGGGAAAGUUACUUAAUCUCUCUGUGUCCCCAUUUGUAAGAUGAUGGCUCGUUCAGAAGGUUGCCAUCAGGAUGAAUUGAGUGUAAAAGGAAUUAUUUAGCCCAGAACCAGGUACAUACGUGCUCAGGAUAGCUUUGCUAUAGUGGUUUGUUUUUUGUAACUACAAGUAUAGGCCAGGUGCGGUGGCUCACGCCUGUAAUCCCAACACUGGGAGGCCGGAGGCAGGCAGAUCAUGAGGUCAGGAGUUAGAGACCAGCCUGGCCAACAUAGUGAAACCCUGUCUCUACUAAAAAUACAAAAAAAAUCAGCCGGGCGUGGUAGUGGGCGCCUGUAAUUCUAGCUAUUCGGGAGGCUGAGGCAGGAGAAUCGCUUGAACCCGGGAGGCGGAGGUUGCAGUGAGCCGAGAUCUCACCACUGCACACCAGCUGGGGCAACAGUGUGAAACUCCAUCUCAAAAAACAAAACAAACAAAAACAAAACUAGAAGUGUAGAAUCUUCAUUUUUAAAAAUAUGGAUGACUAUGGGAAUUAUUGCUUGUUUUUUCCUUUGUUCUGAGACUGAAUCUCACUCUAUCACCCAGGCUGGAGUGCGAUGGUACGAUCUCGGCUUGCAGCAACCUCUGCCUUCUGGGUUCAGGUGAUUCUCGUGCCUCAGCCUCCCGAGUAGCUGGGAUUACAGGCAUGCACCACCAUGCCAGGCUACUUUUUGUAUUUUUAGUAGAGAUGAAGUUUCACCAUGUUGGCCAGGCUGGUCUAGAACUCCUGACCUCAAGUGAUCCGCCUGCCUUGGCCUCCCAAAGUGCUGGGAUUACAGGCAUGAGCCACCAUGCCCAGGCCGGGAAUAAUUGUUUUUUAAGUGUGUAUGUUCUAAACAGAAGAAGGCGCUACCAGAGGAACAGAAAGCACCCAGGCGAAGGAGGGGCAUGGACAGGGGUGGGGAGAGGGGUGGGCCCAGGAAGCAUAGAGGGGCAGGGCUUCCAGGUGAGCCAAUAGGACCAGGGGCCAAGGCAAGAGGGACAAGCAGAGGACGGUGCUGAGAGCCACCUGGGCUGGGACCACAGCAGGAAAAGAGCUGCGAUGCAGCCUCCGUCCACCACUCCUCCUAAACUGCACUUCCAUGCUGUCACCUUCCCGAAGCAUGGCUCUCCAGAGCUCCCCUUUGCCCAGUCUUAGGGUGAGGGUGUUUCCAGCUGGCUCCCCGCCCCAUCCACAGGUUGCUCCUCUUAGCACCUCCUGUGCUCUCCCUAUCUACAGCCCAUCUGGAGUAGGUUCUGCUUUGUGGCAGCCCGAGGGGCGGUGCUCAGCCUCCCAUGAAGGGGGUCUUCCCUCACAAUCGGACUGCUGGCUGCCUUUGGCCUCGUCUGCAGGGAGCAGGGCGGGUGGGCUGGCUGGGACGGCAGCAAGCCCUGCUUACAGGCCCAGCGGACCCUCAAAGGUGCAAGGACUUUCUGAGGGUGCAGGACCUGUCUGACUCUCAGAGGCCCAGGCAAUGAGAAAAUGACAGGCAAGAUACAAACAAUACCAAAUCAUUUAAUACGUGCAAGAAAGUCCGAAGAAUUCUGAUAUACCCCACGAUAUGCUUUUUUGGAAUAGCCAAAAAUGAAGUUUAAAAAAACGUUUUCCACAUGCCUCGGCGUCCUGCGUAGCCGGUGGUCAGGCAGAGCUCCCUCUCCCUGGCGGGUGCGGGGCGGCUCCGCCCCAGGACGCUCCCGCCCCUCCCAGAUCCCAGCCCCUGACCCCCGCCCUUCCCGGGCCGCUGGGCUCACUGUCUUCAGAUAAUCCAGCAGGUCCAAAUACAGCAGGUGGAUGUUCUGGCUGGUGAUGAUCUUGAUCAUUGUCUUCUCGAUGUUGUUCUCCAGCUGGCGGAUGAUCUGGGGCGGACCGAGGGCGCAGUGAGAGGGCGUGGGGACCGGCCGCCCGGAGGGUGUCGGGGCUGGGUUUUCUCCGGAGAGGGUCGUGCUCUCUUAGCCCCGCCCCUCCCGUGAGCCCUCCCCAGGGGACCCGCAAGUCCCGCCCCCCGGUGGCCCCGCCCCUCCCGUGAGUCUUGCCCCAGUGGACUCCGCCCCGCCCUCCCAGCCCCGCCUCUCCACCUGCAGCAGCCGCAGCUCCUCCUUGCUGGCGUCGGGCUGGCUCCGCAGGCUGUCCAGCUCCAGCUGCAUGCUCUCCAGCUUCUGCCCGCGCCGCCGCACCAGGUGGAUCAGUAGGUUGUGCAUGUUCACGCGGUCGAAGACGUACUUGCGCAGCUUCUCCCGCACCACCUGGGUCGGGAAGGGCACCGCCCACUCGUGGUUGCGUAGGGGGCCGCCAUGGAGCCCGCCAGCAGGCGGGCGGGUGGAGGCUCGUGGCAACCCCACAGGGAACCUGGGGCUGGGCACCUGCUCCGUCCCUCGUCGGCUCCGCAACAUCUAGUGGGGGGGUGCUGGCAGGGGUGGGGAGGGUUGGGUCUCGAGGCCCCUCCUGCCUGGUUACCUCCAUGGUGCUGCGGCAGUGCGCCAGUCGCAAAGGCAAGUUUUUCCCGCAGGCCUUGGAGAUGGUCCACUGGUCAUACUGCGGAGCGGCGGCGGCUGAGCUAGAGCGGGCCCUUUGCGCACCCGCAGCCGCUGGCUCCUCCAGGCAUUCUCCCCAGGGCCUCUUGUAUCCCACGCUAGCCCAGUAGCGAGAUCCCUGCUUCCACGAGGAGCAGAGAGCCGCGGGACCCCAUCCUGGCCAUCCAAGUUCGGAGGCGACGUGGUAGGGGGGUAUGCAGAGGAGGGCCUGGGUGUCCCCUAGCUGGCCGGAGAGCCAGAGGGGGCCCCUGCUGCAGGAUGUGGGCUCACAGAUGCCAAGCCCUCGGGUUGGGUGGUGGGAAACCUGCCCACCGGAUGCUGGGGUGACUGGAGCCCAGGGCACAGGUCCUAGCAGAGCCCCUCCUCACAUGCCCCCUGGAUCCAGAAAGAUUGGGGUGGGGGUGGAGAGGAGGUGCCCGCCCUCCGAGUGUGUGUGUACUCAGCUCCUGCCCUGCUCGCCAGGCAGAGGGGAGGGGCGGCGUUUGUGUACCUUCUUGGCCAAAGCCCAGUCCUGGGCCCCGCGGCGGAUGUUGCUGCGCAGGAGGGCCAGCGUGGCCUUGUUCUGGUCCAUAUUCUCUUUCACCCCUUGGAUCUGGAGUGCCCGACACUGCUCUGUGGGCAGGUGGAGGGGACACAGUGGCUAGGAUUGGGCCAAGGGCCUGGCCUGGAAUCCCCUGGGGGAGGCUUGCAUCAGGGAGGCCCCAGGCCCCAGGGUCCAGGGGGAUGCCCCCUCCAUGGCCAAGAUCCCUCCUCCCGCCCUGUCCUGGGGGACACCGCUCCACUGCCCAGCAGCA
RNAcentral lists this long non-coding RNA (8595 nucleotides) under Homo sapiens (human). RNAcentral's name for it is "non-protein coding CCDC183-AS1:9". Lineage: Eukaryota; Metazoa; Chordata; Mammalia; Primates; Hominidae. The record is from RNAcentral.